UCUUUGCUAUAAGGCCUUCUAUGUUUGAACUAUGCUAUGUUGAAAUAUAAGUACUUUGGAUUUUAUCCUAUUCGGAUUGAUUAAUUUGAUUAGUUGUUUGAUUAAAUGAAUCUGAUUGGAUAAUCCUGGUGUAUGAAUGCAAUAUGAUUUUUUCAAUGUUAUAUAUAUCAUUGCAUAUGCAUACCUACUUGAUAUCUCACAUGCCC
RNAcentral lists this long non-coding RNA (206 nucleotides) under Vigna radiata. Its description in RNAcentral is "long non-coding RNA (VRAD_LNC015066)". Lineage: Eukaryota; Viridiplantae; Streptophyta; Magnoliopsida; Fabales; Fabaceae. The record is from RNAcentral.